AACGAACGCUGGCGGCAGGCUUAACACAUGCAAGUCGAGCGCCCCGCAAGGGGAGCGGCAGACGGGUGAGUAACGCGUGGGAAUCUACCCUUUUCUACGGAAUAACGCAGGGAAACUUGUGCUAAUACCGUAUAAGCCCUUCGGGGGAAAGAUUUAUCGGGAAAGGAUGAGCCCGCGUUGGAUUAGCUAGUUGGUGGGGU
RNAcentral lists this ribosomal RNA (200 nucleotides) under uncultured bacterium. Its description in RNAcentral is "partial 16S ribosomal RNA". It matches the Rfam family "Bacterial small subunit ribosomal RNA", at positions 29 to 258 of the family's 1533-position model. The record is from RNAcentral.